Molecule: non-coding RNA, 1673 nt
Organism: Zea mays
Lineage: Eukaryota; Viridiplantae; Streptophyta; Magnoliopsida; Poales; Poaceae
Source: RefSeq, a predicted model, not a curated record
ACAAGAAACAACCACGUCAUCCAUGAAUGCAUUAUAUUGCAUCGCAUUGUUAGCUCAAAACAUAGAUGCAUGCAUGUAAUCGAUCUGUCGAUCCAUGCAUCGAUCGAGAUGUAUAUAUAUCCUGGUUCUAGAUCCCAUAGAGAUCAUAGAACUAGAGCCAGCUCCUUGUUGCCCAUGGCCAUGACGAGAGCACUGGCCAUGGUGGCCAUGUUAGCCACUGCUGCCUUGUUCUUCAUGUCCGCUCGCGCACAGCAGUGCGGUACGCAGGCCGGCGGCGCGCUCUGCCCCGACUGCCUCUGCUGCAGCCAGUGGGGCUAUUGCGGCUCCACUCCCGACUACUGUACCGACGGCUGCCAGAGCCAGUGCUUCGGCAGCGGCUGCGGCGGCGGCGGCGGUACCCCUGCUACUCCCCCGAGCGGGCCGGUGUCAGAAAUCAUCUCCGAAUCCCUGUUCAACGAGAUGCUGCUGCACCGCAACGACGUGGCGUGCCCGGCCAUCGGCUUCUACACCUACGACGCGUUCAUCGCGGCCGCGAACGCGUUCCCGGGCUUCGGCACCACGGGCGGCGCCGACACGCAGAAGCGCGAGCUGGCGGCGUUCCUGGCGCAGACGUCGCACGAGACCACGGGCGGGUGGGACACGGCGCCCGACGGGCCCUACACCUGGGGCUACUGCUUCAAGGAGGAGGUCGGCGGCGUGUGGGGGCCGGACUACUGCCAGCCCAGCCCCCAGUGGCCGUGCGCCGACGGCCAGAAGUACUACGGCCGCGGGCCCAUCCAGCUCUCCUGGAACUACAACUACGGGCCCGCCGGGGAGGCCAUCGGCCAGGACCUUCUGGGCAACCCAGGUCUGGUUGCCGCCGACGCCACUGUCUCCUUCGAGACGGCGCUCUGGUACUGGAUGACGCCGCAGCCGCCCAAGCCGUCCUGCCACGACGUCAUCACGGGCCAGUGGGCGCCCUCGCCCGCCGACGUGGCCGCAGGGAGGCUGCCGGGGUAUGGCGUCCUCACCAACAUCAUCAACGGCGGCCUCGAGUGCGGCCAUGGCGCCGACGCUCGUGUUGCCAGCCGGAUCGGCUUCUACAAACGCUACUGCGACAUGUUUGGUCUCAGCUACGGCGACAACUUGGACUGCUACGACCAGAGCCCCUUCGGAAACACAAUCUUAAGCACCACCAAUAAUACCACCUCAUAUCACGUUGACGCCUAAGGGCAUGUACAGUGGAGAGACACCAAAACGGUUCUCCAAGCACAGGAGACAACUAAGAGACUCUAUUGUACAAUGGAGUGUCUAUAAACGUAGUCUAUUAAUAAAUACAGAAUUAAAUGUAUUUGUAUAGCAUCAGAUCGAUAGAACAGACGACAAAUUCGUACAGUGGGAAGUGAGGCGUCUGUUGCUACUUGGUUUACGAGCCAGAGACGUCUCUUCACGGAGAGACGGCUCUAAGAUUUUUUUGCAAAUAACCCCCUUAAACAGCUUAAGAGACUCCACAUUAAACACCACUGUACAUGCCCUAAUAAGUAACAAGAGCUACCUGUUACUACAACUGCAAGACACAGACCUCGUGUAGUGCACAUGUGCGUCAAAUCUCUAAACUUUGUACGCCCAGCUGAAUAAAACUCUGUAAUCUGAAACUUCGCACACUACCCAGAAUAAAAGUUUUCGAUUUCAAA